This 461-nucleotide ribosomal RNA is filed under the name uncultured Oryzobacter sp. RNAcentral's name for it is "bacterial SSU rRNA". It matches the Rfam family "Bacterial small subunit ribosomal RNA", at positions 441 to 912 of the family's 1533-position model. Lineage: Bacteria; Bacillati; Actinomycetota; Actinomycetes; Micrococcales; Intrasporangiaceae. The record is from RNAcentral.
AGAGAGGAAGCGAGAGUGACGGUAUCUGCAGAAGAAGCACUGGCUAACUACGUGUCAGCAGCUGCGGUAAUACGUAGAGUGCGAGCGUUGUCCAGAAUUAUUGGGCGUAAAGAGCUUGUGGGCGGUCUGUCGCGUCUGCUGUGAGAAUCCGGAGCUCAACCCCGGACUUGCAGUAGGUACGGACAGACUAGAGUGUGGUAGAGGAGACUGGAAUUCCUGGUGUAGUGGUGAGAUGCGCAGAUAUCAGCAGGAGCACCGAUGGCGAAGGCAGGUCUCUGAGCCACUACUGACGCUGAGAACCGAUAGCGUGGGGAGCGAACAGGAUUAGAUACCCUGGUAGUGCACGCCGUAAACGUUGGGGACUAGGUGUGGGUCUCAUUCCACGAGAUCUGUGUCGCAGCUAACGCAUUAAGUUCCUCGCCUGGGGAGUACGGCCGCAAGGCUAAAACUCAAAGGAAUUG